Molecule: ribosomal RNA, 490 nt
Filed under: uncultured bacterium
Lineage: Bacteria
Description: partial 16S ribosomal RNA
Rfam family: Bacterial small subunit ribosomal RNA
Source: RNAcentral
AUUGAACGCUGGCGGCAGGCCUAACACAUGCAAGCCGAACGGUAACAGGAAGAAGCUUGCUUCUUUGCUGACGAGUGGCGGACGGGUGAGUAAUGUCUGGGAAACUGCCUGAUGGAGGGGGAUAACUACUGGAAACGGUAGCUAAUACCGCAUAACGUCGCAAGACCAAAGAGGGGGACCUUCGGGCCUUUUGCCAUCGGAUGUGCCCAGAUGGGAUUAGCUAGUAGGUGGGGUAACGGCUCACCUAGGCGACGAUCCCUAGCUGGUCUGAGAGGAUGACCAGCCACACUGGAACUGAGACACGGUCCAGACUCCUACGGGAGGCAGCAGUGGGGAAUAUUGCACAAUGGGCGCAAGCCUGAUGCAGCCAUGCCGCGUGUAUGAAGAAGGCCUUCGGGUUGUAAAGUACUUUCAGCGGGGAGGAAGGGAGUAAAGUUAAUACCUUUGCUCAUUGACGUUACCCGCAGAAGAAGCACCGGCUAACUCCGUG